GAUGAAGAACGUAGCGAAAUGCGAUAAGUAGUGUGAAUUGCAGAAUUCAGUGAAUCAUCGAAUCUUUGAACGCACAUUGCGCCUUCUAGUAUUCUGGGAGGCAUGCCUGUUUGAGCGUCAUUAAACCUCUCUCAAGUAUGAUUACUUGGAUGUGAAGGAAGAGUACCUUAAACUUAAGGAGUGUUCUCCUUUGAAAUUGAUUAGCAGAUGGUAAUGUUAUUAAAUCCCUGAUGUUGUAAGAAAUAACAGUGGUUUUGUAGACUAUUAUCUAGCUUUAAAUUAGAAUUUUUAUUAUGGUUGACCUCAAAUCAGGUAAGGAUACCCGCUGAACUUAAGCAUAUCAAUAAGCGGAGGA
This 355-nucleotide unclassified non-coding RNA is filed under the name soil metagenome. RNAcentral describes it as "partial contains 5.8S ribosomal RNA, internal transcribed spacer 2, and large subunit ribosomal RNA". The stretch from base 1 to 120 matches the Rfam family "5.8S ribosomal RNA", at positions 35 to 154 of the family's 154-position model. The record is from RNAcentral.